RNAcentral lists this ribosomal RNA (895 nucleotides) under Didymium leoninum. Its description in RNAcentral is "partial small subunit ribosomal RNA". It matches the Rfam family "Eukaryotic small subunit ribosomal RNA", at positions 1226 to 1682 of the family's 1831-position model. Lineage: Eukaryota; Evosea; Eumycetozoa; Physariida; Didymiaceae. The record is from RNAcentral.
GUAUACCGCAUGAGGUCAGCUGAAGACUUUACCCAAUGAUGUAAGUGGUGGUGCAUGGUCGUUCGUGGUUCGUGGAUUGAUUCGUCUGGUUAAUUCCGAUAACGAGCGAGACCCUAUCGUUCCUAAUAUGGGGCUAUAGCCCAACCGGUCGAAAGGCCGGUUAGCUACAGCUUAAGAUCAGCUUCUUAGACGUAUCAGAGCCGAUAAGGUUCUUGAAAUGGGUUAAUAACAGGUUGACAAGACUGGCCUGUAACAGUCAUCGUAUGCUGGCUAGUGAAGACCCCAUUGGGCCGGUAACCCAAUGGGCCUUUGCGACACCCUCAAAUUGCGGGGACACCCUAAAGGCUAACCUACCAACCAUGCGUCUAAAGACGGAAAAAACAAGGGCAUUGACUCCCUAACGGGACGAGCCGCUUGCAUGGGGCCAAGCUAACUACUUGGGUACGGUAAAAACGGUUAGUAUAGAGACCUUCGGGUCGACAAUGGGUAAUCCGCAGCCAAGCCCUACUGUAGGCAAACGGGUACCCCCCGUUUCCUGCUACGGGUGCAGUUCACAGACUAAACGUGGGUGGGGUCACUGGGAUGGUCGUUCCGAACCAAUAAGGACGACCGGAGUGACCCUAAGAUAUAGUCGGGCGGUUAGUGAAAGCUAACCGGGAAAAGGCAGUCAUGCCCUUAGAUGUUCUGGGCCGCACGCGCGUUACAAUGGCAUGUAAAACGAGUGCUUACUGGUAAGCUUACCGUGGUUGAGAGGCAACGGCAAUCCAUAAUCCCUACCUUGACUGGGAUAGAUCAUUGCAAUUAUUGGUCUUUAACGAGGAAUUUUUAGUAAUAGCCAGGUCAUUAACCUGCGCUGAAUGCGUCCCUGCCCUUUGUACACACCGCCCGUCGUGCC